CUAAAAGAUUUAAUAGGGGGACAGUUGGGGGGCCAUCCAGUUUUCCAACUUUUAAGAGAGGUGAAAUCCUUGGACUCAGGUUGAAAGCCCUAACUUCUGGGAAAAACAUUUUGCCAAGGAAGUUUUUCCUUUUAAUCAAGGAACGAAAAAUUUAGGGGGUCGGAAGCCGAUCAAGAUUCCGUUCGGUAGUUUUAAACCAUAAACUAUGGCCGACUUAGGGAUCGGGACGGUGUUAUUCCAUGGCCCGGUUCGGCCCCCUUACGGAGAAAACAAAAGUGCUUGGGGGCUCCCAGGGGGGAGUAUGGUCGCAAAGGCUGAAACUUAAAAGAAAAUUGGCGGGAAAGGGGCACCCCCAGGGGGUGGGAACCUGCGGCCUUAAAUUUGCCUCAAACCCCGGGGAAAACUCCCCCAGGUCCAGACACAAUAAAGGAUUGACAGAUUGAGAGCUCUUUCUUGAUUUUUGUGGGUGGUGGUGCAUGGCCCGUUCUUAGUUUGGUGGGGGUGACUUGUCUGCUUAAUUGCGAUAACGAAACGAGACCUUAACCUGCUAAAUAGCCCCGCAUUGCUCCGGGCAGUGCGCUGGCUUCUUAGAGGGGACUUUUCGGCUCAAGCCCGAAGGAAGUUUGAGGCAAUAACAGGUCUGUGAUGCCCCUUAGAUGUUCUGGGCCCGCACGCGCGCUACACUGACGGGGUCAGCGAGUUCCUUGGCCGAAAGGCCCGGGUAAUCAUGUUAGCCCCCGUCGUGCUGGGGAUAGAGCAUUGCAAUUAUUGCUCUUCAACGAGGAAUCCCUAGUACGCCCUUUCAUCAGCUUGCGUUGAUUACGUCCCUGCCCUUUCUCUCUCUCCACCCGUC
RNAcentral lists this ribosomal RNA (853 nucleotides) under uncultured fungus. Its description in RNAcentral is "bacterial SSU rRNA". It matches the Rfam family "Eukaryotic small subunit ribosomal RNA", at positions 860 to 1677 of the family's 1831-position model. The record is from RNAcentral. Lineage: Eukaryota; Fungi.